This 91-nucleotide transfer RNA is filed under the name Alistipes sp. An31A. RNAcentral describes it as "tRNA-Ser". It matches the Rfam family "tRNA". Rfam says of the family: Transfer RNA (tRNA) molecules are approximately 80 nucleotides in length. Their secondary structure includes four short double-helical elements and three loops (D, anti-codon, and T loops). The record is from RNAcentral. Lineage: Bacteria; Pseudomonadati; Bacteroidota; Bacteroidia; Bacteroidales; Rikenellaceae.
GGAGAGAUGCAGGAGUGGUUGAACUGGCCCGCCUGGAAAGCGAGUAAACCCCUAAAGGGUUUCAGGGGUUCGAAUCCCCUUCUCUCCGCAA